UACGUAGGGUCCAAGCGUUGUCCGGAUUUAUUGGGCGUAAAGAGCUCGUAGGCGGCUCAGUAAGUCGGAUGUGAAAACUCGGGGCUCAACCCCGAGACGCCAUCCGAUACUGCUGUGGCUUGAGUCUGGUAGGGGAACACGGAAUUCCUGGCGUAGCGGUGAAAUGCGCAGAUAUCAGGAGGAACACCGAUGGCGAAGGCAGUGUUCUGGGCCAGUACUGACGCUGAGGAGCGAAAGCGUGGGUAGCAAACAGG
RNAcentral lists this ribosomal RNA (254 nucleotides) under uncultured bacterium. RNAcentral's name for it is "partial 16S ribosomal RNA". It matches the Rfam family "Bacterial small subunit ribosomal RNA", at positions 524 to 776 of the family's 1533-position model. The record is from RNAcentral.